RNAcentral lists this ribosomal RNA (755 nucleotides) under uncultured bacterium. RNAcentral describes it as "bacterial SSU rRNA". It matches the Rfam family "Bacterial small subunit ribosomal RNA", at positions 8 to 753 of the family's 1533-position model. The record is from RNAcentral.
AGAGUUUGAUCAUGGCUCAGAUUGAACGCUGGCGGCAGGCUUAACACAUGCAAGUCGAGCGGUAACAGGGGAAGCUUGCUUCCCGCUGACGAGCGGCGGACGGGUGAGUAAUGCUUAGGAAUCUGCCCAGUAGUGGGGGAUAGCCCGGGGAAACCCGGAUUAAUACCGCAUACGUCCUACGGGAGAAAGCAGGGGAUCUUCGGGACCUUGCGCUAUUGGAUGAGCCUAAGUCGGAUUAGCUAGUUUGUGGGGUAAAGGCCUACCAAGGCGACGAUCCGUAGCUGGUCUGAGAGGAUGAUCAGCCACAUCGGGACUGAGACACGGCCCGAACUCCUACGGGAGGCAGCAGUGGGGAAUAUUGGACAAUGGGGGCAACCCUGAUCCAGCCAUGCCGCGUGUGUGAAGAAGGCUUUCGGGUUGUAAAGCACUUUCAGUAGGGAGGAAAACCUUAUGGUUAAUACCCAUGAGGCUUGACGUUACCUACAGAAGAAGCACCGGCUAACUCCGUGCCAGCAGCCGCGGUAAUACGGAGGGUGCAAGCGUUAAUCGGAAUUACUGGGCGUAAAGCGCGCGUAGGUGGUUUGGUAAGCGAGAUGUGAAAGCCCCGGGCUUAACCUGGGAACGGCAUUUCGAACUGUCAGACUAGAGUGUGGUAGAGGGUAGUGGAAUUUCCUGUGUAGCGGUGAAAUGCGUAGAUAUAGGAAGGAACACCAGUGGCGAAGGCGGCUACCUGGACCAACACUGACACUGAGGUG